This 985-nucleotide unclassified non-coding RNA is filed under the name Hevea brasiliensis (rubber tree). The record is from RNAcentral. Lineage: Eukaryota; Viridiplantae; Streptophyta; Magnoliopsida; Malpighiales; Euphorbiaceae.
CAAUCACAAGAAUUCUCAAAUCCCUAAUUUAGCGAUCGUAAAAUCUCAAUUCACCGGCGUUACGAUGUCAUCGAUGCCUUCAACGUCGGCGGCAGCUACUUCAUCGUCGUCGCAAUUCACCUACUCGAAUGGCACCUACUUUCCGACGCCUUUUCAUCUCCAACAACAACCUCCUCAGCCCUACAUAGGUGCUGCUCCUCCGCCCGUUCAACUUCCUGUUCCUUCCGUCUAUCCUGCUCCUGCUGCUAUUCCUGGCGUUUACACUUUGCCUCAGUUUCAACAAGCUCAACAGUUGUUCCAAAGAGACGCACAAACAAUCACACCUGAAGCACUUGAAAAUGUGAAAGCUGCACUUGCGAGCUGUGAAAUUGAGCACAAAGCUGAGGCCAAGAAGAAAGCUGUACCGCGUAAGGCAGCAGGACAUAGUUGGGAAGAUCCUACUCUGGCAGAGUGGCCCGAAAAUGAUUAUCGUCUAUUCUGUGGUGAUCUCGGGAAUGAGGUGAAUGAUGAUGUCCUAUCAAAAGCUUUUUCAAGGUUUCCAACUUUUAAUAUGGCCAAGGUUGUAAGAGACAAGCGGACUGGUAAGACCAGGGGAUAUGGAUUUGUGAGUUUUUCCAAUCCAUUGGAUCUUGCUGCGGCACUUAAAGAAAUGAAUGGAAAGUAUGUUGGUAACCGGCCUAUUAAACUUUGCAAGAGCAAGUGGCAAGAGAGAAUUGACCAUGAGGCUGUGGAAAGUCACAAGAACCGAUCACAUAAGAAACCAAAGCAAGCAAAGAAGGGUAUAUUUCACAAGUGAGCAUACACCAGCCAUGAUAAGGACUCAAGCAGCAAGAUACUUGAAAUGUGUAUUAAUCAAUUUCUUUACCAGUCCCUGCCUGGGAAAGAAGGAUCAAAGUAUAGUCCCAGGAUGCUGAGAGGCGAUUUCGAUGUCUGCAAUUUGUUAUUUUCACAAUGGUAUAAUAUCCAUAACUAAUUUGGUUUCAUA